RNAcentral lists this long non-coding RNA (959 nucleotides) under Homo sapiens (human). RNAcentral's name for it is "HSALNT0023784". Lineage: Eukaryota; Metazoa; Chordata; Mammalia; Primates; Hominidae. The record is from RNAcentral.
AUCCUAACUGGGAAUUCUAAAGUGGAAAGGAAAAUACUAUGACAAAACUUCAUACUGUCCCAUUGUCUGAUAGCUCUGAGAUCAUACUUUUAAAGCUUACAGGACUUUAAAAUACGAACGUCAAAGUGAAACAACUGAUGUACCUGCAAAACUAGCACCUAGCUGGACCCUUUCUGGGUGCGUGCAGUGUCAGCUCUUUUUAUGUUGUGUUUUAAGUUUUUUAUCCUGGUAUUGCAUUAAUCGUGAUCCAAUGGUUUCCUUUUAUUCUUCGUCUCAAUUUUUUUUUUGUCCUUAAGGCUACUGUGGACUUUUUAGCAAUUUGUUGUAGUUGUUGACUAUCGGCAUAUUCACCAACAGAAGUGAAACUCUUCAUAUGACAAUUAUAAAUUAAAGUGACUAAGGAGUUGAAAUUAGAACAGAAUGCAAUGUGCAGAUUAGCUCUGGCUUUUUCCUAGUAUCCCAUUAGAAUGUUAGAAGUUAUAAUGAUUACAUAUUUCAUCAUCACAUAUCUUUCGAAAUGAAGAGUAGAAUCUUAAAUGACUCUGGACUGUAGUACAGAAGCAAGGUGCCAUUUGUUUUCUUCAGUACUGGUGCUAAAUUUACCAAGAUUUACCAUCUUGCUUAGUGAACACUAGGUGGUGCUCUUGGUAAGCCAAACUUCUGGCUGAGCCAAGCCAAGUGGAUAAAAGAAACUUGCGACAACUGGAACACUAAUUACCAGUUGAUUCAUAGAUAGGAAAGAACAAGUUAUGAUCUCAAGUUCUGUGAGGGGACACGGCAGGCCAAGAAUGUGUGCUUGUUCAAACAAGGACUGAUCUACAGAACACUUUAGUCUCCCUAAACCUGUUUUCAAGCAUUUCACCUUUCACUCUAAACAUGUAACAUAGUAGUCUCCUGCAAGAAAGAAACUGGUACCCAGACAGGGCAAAACAAGAUCAUGCUCAACCGGCUAUCUAUCU